UGCUUAACACAUGCAAGUCGAACGGAAAGGCCCCUUCGGGGGUACUCGAGUGGCGAACGGGUGAGUAACACGUGGGUAAUCUGCCCUGCACUUCGGGAUAAGCCUGGGAAACUGGGUCUAAUACCGGAUAGGACCUCGAGGCGCAUGCCUUGUGGUGGAAAGCUUUUGCGGUGUGGGAUGGGCCCGCGGCCUAUCAGCUUGUUGGUGGGGUGACGGCCUACCAAGGCGACGACGGGUAGCCGGCCUGAGAGGGUGUCCGGCCACACUGGGACUGAGAUACGGCCCAGACUCCUACGGGAGGCAGCAGUGGGGAAUAUUGCACAAUGGGCGCAAGCCUGAUGCAGCGACGCCGCGUGGGGGAUGACGGCCUUCGGGUUGUAAACCUCUUUCAGCAGGGACGAAGCGCAAGUGACGGUACCUGCAGAAGAAGCACCGGCCAACUACGUGCCAGCAGCCGCGGUAAUACGUAGGGUGCGAGCGUUGUCCGGAAUUACUGGGCGUAAAGAGCUCGUAGGUGGU
This 519-nucleotide ribosomal RNA is filed under the name Mycobacterium interjectum. Its description in RNAcentral is "bacterial SSU rRNA". It matches the Rfam family "Bacterial small subunit ribosomal RNA", at positions 45 to 579 of the family's 1533-position model. Lineage: Bacteria; Bacillati; Actinomycetota; Actinomycetes; Mycobacteriales; Mycobacteriaceae. The record is from RNAcentral.